Molecule: ribosomal RNA, 254 nt
Filed under: uncultured bacterium
Lineage: Bacteria
Description: partial 16S ribosomal RNA
Rfam family: Bacterial small subunit ribosomal RNA
Source: RNAcentral
UACGUAGGGUGCGAGCGUUAAUCGGAAUUACUGGGCGUAAAGCGUGCGCAGGCGGUCUGUUAAGACCGAUGUGAAAUCCCCGGGCUUAACCUGGGAACUGCAUUGGUGACUGGCAGGCUUUGAGUGUGGCAGAGGGAGGUAGAAUUCCACGUGUAGCAGUGAAAUGCGUAGAGAUAUGGAGGAAUACCGAUGGCGAAGGCAGCCUCCUGGGCCAACACUGACGCUCAUGCACGAAAGCGUGGGGAGCAAACAGG